GAGCGGAGUUGUGGUGCUUGCACCAUAACUUAGCGGCGGACGGGUGAGUAAUGCUUAGGAAUCUGCCUAUUAGUGGGGGACAACAUCUCGAAAGGGAUGCUAAUACCGCAUACGUCCUACGGGAGAAAGCAGGGGACCUUCGGGCCUUGCGCUAAUAGAUGAGCCUAAGUCGAAAUAAGGCCUAGUUGGGUGGGGUAAAGGCCUACCAAGGCGACGAUCUGUAAGCGGGUCUGAGACGAUGAUCCGCCACACUGGAACUGAGACACGGCCCAGACUCCUACCGGAGGCAGCAGUGGGGAAUACUGGACAAUGGCGGGAACCCUGAUCCAGCCAUGCCGCGUGUGUGAAGAAGGCCUUUUGGUUGUAAAGCACUUUAAGCGAGGAGGAGGCUACCGAGACUAAUACUCUGGGAUAGUGGACGUUACUCGCAGAAUAAGCACCGGCUAACUCUGUGCCAGCAGCCGCGGUAAUACAGAGGGUGCGAGCGUUAAUCGGAUUUACUGGGCGUAAAGCGUGCGUAGGCGGCUUUUUAAGUCGGAUGUGAAAUCCCUGAGCUUAACUUAGGAAUUGCAUUCGAUACUGGGAAGCUAGAGUAUGGGAGAGGAUGGUAGAAUUCCAGGUGUAGCGGUGAAAUGCGUAGAGAUCUGGAGGAAUACCGAUGGCGAAGGCAGCCAUCUGGCCUAAUACUGACGCUGAGGUACGAAAGCAUGGGGAGCAAACAGGAUUAGAUACCCUGGUAGUCCAUGCCGUAAACGAUGUCUACUAGCCGUUGGGGCCUUUGAGGCUUUAGUGGCGCAGCUAACGCGAUAAGUAGACCGCCUGGGGAGUACGGUCGCAAGACUAAAACUCAAAUGAAUUGACGGGGGCCCGCACAAGCGGUGGAGCAUGUGGUUUAAUUCGAUGCAACGCGAAGAACCUUACCUGGUCUUGACAUAGUAAGAACUUUCCAGAGAUGGAUUGGUGCCUUCGGGAACUUACAUACAGGUGCUGCAUGGCUGUCGUCAGCUCGUGUCGUGAGAUGUUGGGUUAAGUCCCGCAACGAGCGCAACCCUUUUUCCUUAUUUGCCAGCGGGGUAAGUCCGCGAACUUUAAGGAUACUGCCACUGACAAACUGGCAGAAAGACGGGGACGACGUCAAGUCAUCAUGGCCCUUACGGACCAGGGCUACACACCUGCCUACAAUGAUCGGUACAAAGGGUAUGCUACCGCGCGAGAGGAUGCUAAUCUCAAAAAGCCGAUCUGUAGUCCGGAUUGGAGGCUGAAACCUCG
This 1269-nucleotide ribosomal RNA is filed under the name Acinetobacter sp. P4561. Its description in RNAcentral is "bacterial SSU rRNA". It matches the Rfam family "Bacterial small subunit ribosomal RNA", at positions 64 to 1314 of the family's 1533-position model. The record is from RNAcentral. Lineage: Bacteria; Pseudomonadati; Pseudomonadota; Gammaproteobacteria; Moraxellales; Moraxellaceae.